AUUGAACGCUGGCGGCAGGCCUAACACAUGCAAGUCGGACGAGGGGCGGACGGGUGAGUAAUGUAUGGGGAUCUGCCUGCUGGCGGGGGAUAACUACUGGAAACGGUAGCUAAUACCGCAUACCAUCAGAGGAACCCAUAUGGGAUUAGCUUGUAGGUGAGGUAACGGCUCACCUAGGCGACGAUCCCUAGCUGGUCUGAGAGGAUGAUGAGUAACACGUGGAAGAGGACGCGGCCGAGACUCCUACGGGAGGCAGCGGUGGGGCAUCUUGGGCAAGGUGCACAAGCCUGAUGCAGCCAUUCCGCGUGUAUGAAGAAGGCCUUCGGGGUGUAAAGUAUGAUCAGUCGGGAGGCGUUACCUACAGAAGAAGCACCGGCUAACUCCGUGCCAGCAGCCGCGGUAAUUC
RNAcentral lists this ribosomal RNA (406 nucleotides) under uncultured bacterium. RNAcentral's name for it is "partial 16S ribosomal RNA". It matches the Rfam family "Bacterial small subunit ribosomal RNA", at positions 30 to 526 of the family's 1533-position model. The record is from RNAcentral.